UACAGAGACUGCAAGCGUUAUUCGGAUUCACUGGGCGUAAAGGGUGCGCAGGCGGCCGGGUGUGUCAGGUGUGAAAGCCCGAGGCUUAACCUCGGAAUUGCGCCUGAAACUGCUCGGCUAGAGCAUUGGAGAGGGUAGCGGAAUUCACGGUGUAGCAGUGAAAUGCGUAGAUAUCGUGAGGAACACCAGAGGCGAAGGCGGCUACCUGGACAAUUGCUGACGCUCAGGCACGAAAGCGUGGGGAG
Molecule: ribosomal RNA, 245 nt
Filed under: uncultured Opitutus sp.
Lineage: Bacteria; Pseudomonadati; Verrucomicrobiota; Opitutia; Opitutales; Opitutaceae
Description: partial 16S ribosomal RNA
Rfam family: Bacterial small subunit ribosomal RNA
Source: RNAcentral